GCCUCUGGGGCCAGAGGGACAAGGGACAGUUCCAGUUGUGUCCUCUGAGCCUUCGGAAUUGUUUUGGAAUCCAGCGUUUCCAGAAUGUUCCGUCAGCUACGUUUCACUCCCAAGGCGAGAAUGACACGAUGGGCUCGGGCGUGUGCAGAUGGUGCUGUUGAUACUCUGUCGGGGAGGCAGCCGGGCAGCUCUGGCCAGAGCAGACCACAUCAAAGCCGCCUUUGUGACUUGCCGUUCAGAUCUGCAGGUCCUUGCCCCACACUGCGACCGCGUCACCUCCGGCGCAAGCGCCACGAGAGCUCCAAGGCGGACGAGCUGGGAGCACGUUCCCACGUCUCGGGUUUAUCCUGGAGAGCCUUGCUGUGAAGACAGCCCCCGUCUCGUGGACAGCGGGCUUCGGCGGGUCCUUCGGGGAUCUGUGAUCGAGGAGACCGGGGGGGCGGGGCUUACCGACACGGCUGCCCGACGGUUUCUCAAGCUGUGAUGCUGUCGCAGUUCCCGUGCUGUCACCUGCACCCACAGCCACGGUCGGCGUCCGCCUCCAGCCCCGAGCUCGGCCGUGACACACAGGUGGUCCGAGGUCCCUGUUCAGAUCAGCUGUCCAGGGCUGUUUCCUGUGGGUCCUGACCAUCAGGGCACCUUCUUCUUCUCCAGCGAAGCCAGCGCUGGCCGCCAGGAUGGUGACAGCGAACCACCACUCCGUUCUCAUGUGUCAGGCCUUGGCUUCAGUCCUUGACUCAAACUGAGUCUUGACGACCGCCGUAUGAGGUUUAGGGAUUUUGCUGUCCCUCCCACUUUAUGGAGGAGAAACAGAGGCGAGAGAGGUCACACAGCGUCCUUGUGUUCACAAGACUAAGCAACGGUAGAAUGGCAAGGUGAUGCCAGCUCUGAUAAACCCAAACCUGGCACCUGCCUUUCUGGUGCCCGUGCCUCUGCCACGCCUCCCCGGGGUGGCGCUGGAGAUCGACCUGAGACCGGGAAGUUCUCGCAAGCACCUUGCGGACUGACCGCGUGCUGGAGAGCCUGUUGACUCCUCGGUUCAACCUUCAGCGGUUCCUUCCUGGCUGCAUCUUGAAUGAGAUAGAUAUUGGAGGCAACACAGUGAGCGUAAGCCAAGAUACUUUGGACUCAGCCUCAGCUUGGACCCUGGCUUUGUCGCUCAUGAGCUGUGUGACCUCAGUGAGUGUCCUCACUGGUAAAAUGGGCACUACACCCAUAGGGUCGUCAUGAGGAAUAAUUGAGAAAAAGCCCCUAAAACACCCCGGUGCGCAAAAAUGGUGGCUAGACCUUUGGUGCCGCCCAGGGACACGCGCGGUGCUCCCACCCUCUGAGACAACAGUCGGGGGAGAACAGGGGACCAAGGAGCUCAUGACACCCUCCUGCUCUGAGACGGUGUCCUACACUCACCCUUUCCACUUUACAGCCACCCGGGCAGUUGUCCGAGCCGACAAAGAGCCCCUCACUUUGUCAGAGGAGAAAAUCAGAUGUUAUCUCUGACUGACCCGAGACACCGAGGUGGAAGCGAGGAAGGAAGGAAGAUGUGGAGAGACUGCCCCCCUUGCUGAUAAGCAGUCUUGCAAAGAAGGCCGGGUGGGUGACCCGUGGCCCCGUGGGGCACGUCGGGCAGUCGGGGAUCGAGGGGAGCCGACCAUCUUGUCAGGGUGUCGGGAUUCUGGAGCCACCAGCCCUGUUACAACCAGUACGGUCGACGCCAAUGUUGUCCUUUCUCAACCAUUAAAGCUAACUCCCUCCUUAAAAAAAAAUUUAAAUAAAAGGGGGUCGCCUGGGUGGCUCAGUCGGUUAAGCGUCCGACUUCGG
Molecule: long non-coding RNA, 1818 nt
Organism: Lynx canadensis (Canada lynx)
Lineage: Eukaryota; Metazoa; Chordata; Mammalia; Carnivora; Felidae
Exons: 4
Source: RefSeq, a predicted model, not a curated record